AGUUGUGUACUUCAUGUUGCAGUGCUUUUCUAAUUUAAGAACUGAUCUUACAGUUGGAAAGCAUGAGGUCAAGUUCACAGUGUGUGUAUUUUGGUUACGAGUCUUCAUCAGAAGAUGGAGUCACAUGGACAGUGGUCAGUCCUGUCGUCUUCACCUAUCGAGUCGUUCAGUGUGAGCGGCUUCUGGAUGCAAGCAAUGACACCUUACUGUUUGGCCAUAUCUCCAGCCCUACGGAGCUCCAGGCCCUUAAGAACAACAGUGAAGUAAUGAAGCGAUUCAUUGUGAUUGACGAGACUGUUAAUGAUCUAUACGGCUCCCAGGUGGCAGCAUAUUUCCAAGCGAGAGGAGUGACGUACAAGAUCCUUCCCUUACCCACAACUGAGGAGAACAAGUCCAUGACUCUAGUGACCAGAAUCUUGGAGGAGGUCCAUAAGUUUGGGAUUGACCGCCGUACGGAGCCCAUUAUUGCUAUCGGUGGUGGUGUGUGUCUGGAUAUCACAGGUCUCGCUGCAUCACUGUAUCGCAGACGUACUCCGUAUAUCCGUGUCCCUACUACUCUGCUGGCUUACAUUGAUGCCAGUGUGGGGGCAAAGACUGGGGUCAAUUUUGCCAACUGUAAAAAUAAGCUAGGGUCAUACAUCCCACCCGUGGCAGCGUUCCUGGACAGAAGUUUCCUCUGCACUCUGCCACGCCGCCAUAUUUCUAAUGGAAUGGCUGAAAUGCUGAAGAUGGCGCUGAUGAAACACAGAGGACUCUUUGAACUUUUGGAGAAGGAUGGCAGACAUUUGUUGGACUCCAGUUUCCAAUCAUCAGGGAGAAUGCCAGAAAAUAUACAUGGGGACGCAGCGAGUGUAUCCACGAGACUGGCCAUUGAAACCAUGCUGGAGGAACUUGCCCCAAACUUGUGGGAGGAUGACCUGGACCGGCUGGUGGACUUUGGCCAUAUCAUCAGUCCAGAGCUUGAAAUGAAAAUACUUCCUGCGCUUCUUCAUGGAGAGGCGGUGAACAUUGACAUGGCUUUCAUGGUCUAUGUGGCUCACGAAAGGGGCUUUCUGACAGAAGAGGAGAAAAGACGUAUCAUUGUGUGUAUGCGGAGCCUAGAUCUUCCAGUGUGGCAUUCAGACUGCACUCUGGAUCUAGUACUGAAGUCCCUUACUGAACGACUCAAGCACUCAGGAGGAUUUCUGAGAACGCCUCUACCCACAGCGCUAGGAAAAGCAAGAAUCUUCAAUGACACAGAAGAGAGCAUUGUGUGUCAAGCGUUCAAGAAAUGGUGUGAUGAACAGUGUGAAACCACCAUGAAACCAGAAUAACACACCACAGGAAAUGUUGAGUCUGAUUAUAUUCCUGAACCAAGAAAAACACGUGUGCUGCAAAAUGAAACGCAUCAAAUCAUGAAUGAAACCUCCAGAAAUUGUGAAAACCACUCAGUUUUAUUUCAAUGUCUGUAACAGUUUCAUUCUCAAUACACGUGACAAGCUUUAAAACCCAACAAUGAAAUGCUACUUUCCUCAUAAAGCUCACAUUAAGAGUGAAAGGUGACUUUCCCAACAGGUUUAAAGUGGGCUGGCUUCCAGAACUGAAUUCAUAGGAAAUUAAUGCUUUGUAAAGGAAAAAAAAAAAAAUCAACAUUACAAGCUAUCUUAAGUCCUUUCUUAAAUAAUGUUUGGUUAAGCUUCAAAAAUAUAAAACAAAAGUAUUUUAACAAAACGAAAGCCAUUUCUAGCCAAGAUACUUCUAUAAAAGACAGACUUGUGUUUGUUAUUAAAAGAUAUUUGGUUGAAGUUCCACAGAAGCCUGUUUUGAAGGCACCUUUCAUCGACGUCACUGAUACAUAUGCAUUCAUAUAGGAGCCUUGUGCUUUAACUGUUACCUGAUUGUCUGAAUUAUUGCUCAAAAAAAAAAAAAAAAAUUGCAACAGCCAGUUUUGCUAUAAAUUCACAACGACAUACUUAACAGUUUCACUGCAUAUUUAGACUCCACUUGGAAUUUGGCCACAUUUUAGUAGUCAACACUGUGUAACAUUACAUUCAGAGGAAGUUUUGUAGUGCUUCAAGACACUUCAGCUUUAAGCCAGAAUACAAUACAAUCCUGAUCAAAACCUAGGUUCGGUGGUCCUACUGAGAUAUCAUCCCCUCUACUUCACCCGAGGACCGAACCCGUUAGGUUCCACAGUCUAAGACUAAGUCUAAAAUCACAAAUAUAGAACAGAAGAUUUCAUUUAAAGGGAUAGUUCACACGAAAUAGAAAAUUAGGAACAUCGUCUUCUUACUCUCAUGUAGCUCCAAACCCAUGUACUGUACAUUUUUACAAAUUUGGGGUUUAUUUUUUUGUCCUUUUUGGAAAUUAGUAGUCCCUGUGGAAGCAUGGAACAAAAAAUAAAUAGGUAAUUGUGACUUUCUAGCA
Cyprinus carpio (common carp) is the source of this 2406-nucleotide long non-coding RNA. The record is from Ensembl. NCBI's taxonomy places the organism in Eukaryota, Metazoa, Chordata, Actinopteri, Cypriniformes, Cyprinidae.